UGAGUCUGUACCUCCCUAAGC
Molecule: non-coding RNA, 21 nt
Filed under: Sclerotinia sclerotiorum
Lineage: Eukaryota; Fungi; Ascomycota; Leotiomycetes; Helotiales; Sclerotiniaceae
Source: RNAcentral